RNAcentral lists this ribosomal RNA (475 nucleotides) under uncultured bacterium. Its description in RNAcentral is "SSU rRNA". It matches the Rfam family "Bacterial small subunit ribosomal RNA", at positions 26 to 518 of the family's 1533-position model. The record is from RNAcentral.
AGAAUCAACGCUGGCGGCGUGCCUAACACAUGCAAGUCGAACGAGAAAGUGGAGCAAUCCAUGAGUAAAGUGGCGACCGGGUGAGUAACACGUGACUAACCUACCUUCGAGUGGGGGAUAACCUCGGGAAACCGGGGCUAAUACCGCAUAACAUCUUUGAAGUGGAAAUUUCGGAGAUCAAAGGAGCAAUUCGCUGGAAGAGGGGGUCGCGGCUGAUUAGCUAGUUGGCGGGGUAAUGGCCCACCAAGGCUUAGAUCGGUAGCCGGCCUGAGAGGGCGCACGGCCACACUGGAACUGAAACACGGUCCAGACUCCUACGGAGGCAGCAGUGGGGAAUUUUGCGCAAUGGGGGAAACCCUGACGCAGCAACGCCGCGUGGAGGAUGAAGUCCCUUGGGACGUAAACUCCUUUCGACCCGGACGAUAAUGACGGUACGGGUGGAAGAAGCCCCGGCUAACUUCGCGCCAGCAGCCGC